Molecule: unclassified non-coding RNA, 331 nt
Filed under: uncultured Gigasporaceae
Lineage: Eukaryota; Fungi; Glomeromycota; Glomeromycetes; Diversisporales; Gigasporaceae
Also listed under: 1 other name
Description: sequence contains 18S rRNA gene
Source: RNAcentral
CCCAACUAUCCCUAUUAAUCAUUACGGUGAUUCAGAAACCAACAAAACAGGACCACUGUCCUAUUUUAUUAUUCCAUGCUAAUGUAUUCAGACGUAAACCUGCUUUGAACACUCUAAUUUUUUCAAGGUAAAGGUCCUGGUUUCCCACCAUGCUAAAUUAAUAACAUGAUGGUUCCCCAGAAGGUAGAAAUUCCACACGCCAGUACAGACUAUUGCCCGACCAACGGUAGAACCCCGAAAUUCAACUACGAGCUUUUUAACUGCAACAACUUUAAUAUACGCUAUUGGAGCUGGAAUUACCGCGGCUGCUGGCACCAGACUUGCCCUCCAA